This is a long non-coding RNA of Leopardus geoffroyi (Geoffroy's cat), 468 nucleotides long. RefSeq lists it as uncharacterized. The record is from RefSeq and is a predicted model, not a curated record. Lineage: Eukaryota; Metazoa; Chordata; Mammalia; Carnivora; Felidae. The transcript is spliced from 2 exons.
GGAGAAGUGAGCCCAGGUGUUCAGAUGACACUCCCCAUGCUGCCUUGACCUCCCGAGCCCUGAGCACACCAGGGGGGAGAAGCCCAUCCCCUGCCGCAGGUUGGUUGAAAGGAUUCACAAGUGGAAAAGUGAAGUGCUGAACAGGCACGAGGAAGAUGGAGAUCAGAAUUUCUUGUGAGUGCCCGAAGAAGUCAGGGACUGUCUAUUCUUGCACAUGUACUCUGAGUGCCUCGUGUAAUACAGGUCACCUUGCAGAUGCCCCCAUUGAUACUUGUUGACUGACUGAAUCAUCCAGCAUGACUUAGCGGGGUUCUGGAACACCUUGCUGUCCGUGGUGGUUACUCUUGUGCCCUUUGGAUUGUUGUAUGUGUGCCUGUUGCCUCUUCAGAUGGACAUUCCCAACCUUCCCUGGCAAGGAGCUGUUUCUCAACUGGAGCUUUCUCUUUAUCAUUGUUAUUAUUAUGCAAA